UGAGGAGUUUUGCGUAAUGGGGGAAACCCUGACGCAGCAACGCCGCGUGAGUGAAGAAGGCCUUCGGGUCGUAAAGCUCUGUCUAGUGGGAAGAACCUUUCAUGGGUCAAUACCCCAUGAAACUGACGGUACCACUGAAGGAAGCACCGGCUAACUCCGUGCCAGCAGCCGCGGUAAUACGGAGGGUGCCAGCGUUAUUCGGAAUCAUUGGGUGUAAAGCGCGUGUAGGCGGCCUGGAAAGUCAAAUGUGAAAGCUUCGGGCUUAACCCGGAAAGUGCAUUUGAAACUCCCAGACUUGAGUGCCGGAGAGGAAGGUGGAAUUCCCAGUGUAGAGGUGGAAUUCGUAGAUAUUGGGAGGAACACCGGUGGCGAAGGCGACCUUCUGGACGGACACUGACGCUGAGACGCGAAAGCGUGGGGAGCAAACAG
This 429-nucleotide ribosomal RNA is filed under the name uncultured bacterium. RNAcentral's name for it is "bacterial SSU rRNA". It matches the Rfam family "Bacterial small subunit ribosomal RNA", at positions 355 to 775 of the family's 1533-position model. The record is from RNAcentral.